GCAAGCGUUAUUCGGAAUAUAUUGGGCGUAAAGACGCGCGUAGGCGGCCUGUUAAGUCAGAUGUGAAAACCCCGGGCUCAACCCCGGAACUGCAYUUGAAACUGCCAGRCUUGAGUACGGGAGAGGGAAGUGGAAUUCCCGGUGUAGCGGUGAAAUGCGUAGAUAUCCGGAGGAACACCAGUGGCGAAGGCGGCCUCCUGGC
This 202-nucleotide ribosomal RNA is filed under the name uncultured delta proteobacterium. RNAcentral describes it as "partial 16S ribosomal RNA". It matches the Rfam family "Bacterial small subunit ribosomal RNA", at positions 534 to 733 of the family's 1533-position model. Lineage: Bacteria; Deltaproteobacteria. The record is from RNAcentral.